AUGUUUAGUGUUCGGCGGUUGCUCGUGGAGGGAGGGUGUGUCGCUCGUCCAAGUGCAAGGCUAUGUCUCUUAUGACCCCGUGUUAACGCUUAUCGCCGAGGUGUGUUGAGGGUUGAAGAGGCCAAGUCAAGCAGAUGAGGAAACAGAGAGGAAAAUUGUCCUGAGGAGUUGGGAGCUGUGGUUCAAGGACACAUGGCCAGAGAACUAGAGGCAAAGGCAUCUCUCAUUUUACCUGUGCAAGAAAGCAUGGCACCAGUGGCUUGAUUGAUGACAUUUGUCUGCUGGCUUGCGUCCGUCUGUGUACCUUUGGAGGCCCCUGCUCGCUGGUAGGACUCCACCUAAGCCACGGAACAGUUGUGCUGACCCCUUAAGCCAGAGGAGUCAGCCACUGGGAACUGGUGUACCGGGAUCAUUUACCAACAAGCUACACACAGGUAUCGCGGAAUCUUAAAUACAGUGAUUGGAACAUUUUUUU
Non-coding RNA from Procambarus clarkii (red swamp crayfish), 475 nucleotides. NCBI's taxonomy places the organism in Eukaryota, Metazoa, Arthropoda, Malacostraca, Decapoda, Cambaridae. The record is from RefSeq and is a predicted model, not a curated record.